ACGGGUGAGUAACGCGUGGGAACGUGCCUUUCGGUUCGGGAUAACCCAGGGAAACUUGGGCUAAUACCGGAUACGCCCUUCGGGGGAAAGAUUCAUUGCCGAAAGAUCGGCCCGCGUCGGAUUAGCUAGUUGGUGGGGUAAAAGCCUACCAAGGCGACGAUCCGUAGCUGGUCUGAGAGGAUGACCAGCCACACUGGGACUGAGACACGGCCCAGACUCCUACGGGAGGCAGCAGUGGGGAAUAUUGGACAAUGGGCGCAAGCCUGAUCCAGCCAUGCCGCGUGGGUGAAGAAGGCCUUAGGGUUGUAAAUCCCUUUCAGCGGGGAAGAUAAUGACGGUACCCGCAGAAGAAGCCCCGGCUAACUCCGUGCCAGCAGCCGCGGUAAUACGGAGGGGGCUAGCGUUGUUCGGAAUUACUGGGCGUAAAGCGCGCGUAGGCGGACCUGCAAGUCGGGGGUGAAAGCCCGAGGCUUAACCUCGGAAUUGCCUUCGAUACUGCGGGUCUCGAGUCCGGGAGAGGUGAGUGGAAUUCCUAGUGUAGAGGUGAAAUUCGUAGA
RNAcentral lists this ribosomal RNA (557 nucleotides) under uncultured bacterium. RNAcentral describes it as "bacterial SSU rRNA". It matches the Rfam family "Bacterial small subunit ribosomal RNA", at positions 102 to 694 of the family's 1533-position model. The record is from RNAcentral.